CCGGGUCGAACCCCAAGGGAGCAGCGGGGUCCGGGAGUGGAGAGCCUGGCGCGGAGCGGGGUGGGGGCGCGCGGACGGCGCGCGCGCGGGAGGGCCCCGCCUCGGCCGGCUCCUUCCCUCCCUCCCCGCCCCCGGUCGGCCGCUGGGGAGCGCGCCUCGCCUCGCACCCCCACCCCCGACCCUCCACGCUCCGCGGGCCCCGCGGAGCUGCCGAGGCCGUGUGCCGGCCCGCCGAGCGGUUCCGGGUGUAGGGUUCACAGGUCAGAGUUGACUCCCUGAAAAGUGCAGCCGGUUUGAAAUGCAAGAUGGCGGCGGCGGGGCGCUGAGAGGCGCGGCGGCCCCUGCAGGAUAUGGCAGAUAGGUACUUCAGACCUGUUGGUAAUGAUGGCCUGAGCUAAACACCUAAUUUGAAGGGACACCCUCCAUGUCAAAGAACAGAAUGCUGAAGAAGCUAUGGCAAGUGUUUGGAGUUGGGCUUCAAACAUUUCAGCAGUUCAACAGUAUCUUAUCUGCCAAGAAUAAGCUCUUUACUUGAUUGCACCAUGGAAAAGCUGCUAAUGAAACUUGUUGAACACAAAAAUGGACUUGAAGAACCAAAAGCCAUUGUUUUCAAAUGAAGAAUACUGAACAAUUUUAAGCCUCAAUGCUUUUUAAUCACCGCUGAGAUCUUCCUCAUAACAUCAGAAUGGCAAGCAGGCGAAAAUCCACAACCCCCUGCAUGGUCCUUGCCAGUGAACAGGAUCCGGACCUCGAGUUGAUAUCAGACUUGGAUGAAGGCCCUCCUGUACUGACACCUGUAGAAAGCACCAGAGCAGAGAGCGUCUCAAGUGAUGAAGUUCAUGAAUCUGUGGACUCCGACAAUCAGCAAAAUAAAAAAGUUGAAGGUGGCUAUGAAUGUAAAUAUUGUACUUUUCAAACCCCAGAUCUAAAUAUGUUUACUUUCCAUGUGGAUUCAGAACAUCCCAACGUCGUGCUAAAUUCAUCCUAUGUCUGUGUUGAAUGCAAUUUUCUUACCAAAAGGUAUGAUGCACUUUCUGAGCAUAAUCUGAAACAUCACCCAGGAGAAGAGAAUUUUAAGUUGACUAUGGUGAAACGAAAUAACCAGACGAUCUUUGAGCAGACAAUAAAUGAUCUGACUUUUGAUGGUAGUUUUGUUAAAGAGGAGCACUCAGAGCAAGCUGAACCUGCAGAAGUUGCGUCUUCGGGAAUAUCUAUCAGUAAAACUCCGAUCAUGAAAAUGAUGAAAAAUAAAGCGGAGAACAAGCGGGUUACAGUUCACCACAACUCAGCUGAGGACGUUCCCGAAGACAAAGAGAAUGAAAUCAAACCAGACCGUGAAGAAACUGUGGAAAACCCAAGUUCUUCGGCUUCUGAAUCUAAUACAGGUACUUCCGUUGUAAGCAGAAUACAUCCGAAUACUGCCAGCACGCUCGUGACCCCCGCAGCAGUUCUCCCUGGGCUAGCUCAGGUGAUAACUGCGGUAUCGGCUCAGCAGAAUUCCAGUCUGAUUCCCAAAGUCUUAAUCCCUGUUAAUAGCAUUCCCACCUACAAUGCUGCAUUGGAUAACAACCCCCUUUUGCUCAACACCUACAACAAAUUCCCUUACCCAACAAUGUCAGAAAUUACUGUUCUUUCCGCUCAAGCAAAAUACACAGAGGAACAGAUCAAGAUCUGGUUUUCAGCCCAACGCCUAAAACAUGGCGUCAGCUGGACUCCCGAGGAGGUAGAGGAGGCCAGAAGAAAACAAUUCAAUGGAACAGUACACACUGUACCUCAGACCAUAACUGUUAUUCCUACACACAUUUCCACGGGGAGUAAUGGUUUACCAUCCAUUUUACAGACAUGCCAAAUAGUUGGCCAGCCAGGUCUGGUCCUUACACAAGUAGCUGGAGCGAACACCUUGCCUGUAACAGCACCUAUAGCCUUGACCGUGGCAGGGGUUCCAAGUCAAACAAAUGUACAAAAAAGUCAGGCGCCUGCUGCUCAACCGAAUGCAGAGACAAAGCCAGCCACAGCAGCCAUCCCACCUUCUCCGCUCAUCAAACAUGAAACCGCAGCGGCAAACCCUGAUUCCUUUGGCAUUCGGGCCAAAAAGACUAAAGAGCAACUGGCCGAAUUAAAAGUCAGCUACCUUAAAAACCAGUUUCCCCAUGAUUCAGAAAUCAUCAGACUUAUGAAAAUCACAGGCCUGACUAAAGGAGAGAUUAAAAAAUGGUUUAGUGACACAAGGUACAACCAGAGAAAUUCAAAGAGUAAUCAGUGCUUACAUCUCAACAACGACUCCUCCACCACUAUUCUUAUAGACUCCAGCGAUGAAACCACGGAGUCCCCCGCUGUGGUUACUUCACAGCCGAAACAAUCCUGGAAUCCUUUUCCUGACUUCACUCCCCAGAAGUUUAAAGAGAAGACCACAGAGCAGCUUCGUGCCCUUCAGGCGAGUUUUCUCAACAGUUCCGUACUCACCGAUGAAGAAUUAAAUAGGUUAAGAGCGCAAACCAAACUUACCAGAAGGGAAAUUGAUGCUUGGUUUACAGAGAAGAAGAAAUCAAAAGCUUUAAAGGAAGAGAAGGUAGAAAUAGACGAAAAUAAUGCAGGUAGUUCCAAAGAAGAAGCUGGAGAAACUUCUCCCAGAGAUGACUCUGGUGCACCUAAGCCAGGGAGCACAGGCAAGAUCUGUAAAAAAACACCCGAGCAGUUACACAUGCUGAAGAGUGCUUUUGUCCGAACACAGUGGCCGUCACCGGAAGAGUAUGACAAGUUGGCUGAAGAAAGCGGGCUUGCUAGAACAGACAUCGUCAGUUGGUUUGGCGACACUCGUUAUGCUUGGAAAAAUGGAAAUCUAAAAUGGUACUACUAUUAUCAAAGCGCCAAUUCGAGUAGUAUGAAUGGUUUGUCCUCCCUUCGGAAAAGGGGGAGAGGGAGACCCAAAGGAAGGGGAAGAGGAAGACCACGUGGGCGGCCAAGAGGAAGCAAGAGAAUGAACAACUGGGACAGGGGGCCAUCACUCAUAAAAUUUAAAACUGGAACUGCAAUACUUAAGGAUUAUUACCUGAAGCACAAAUUUCUUAAUGAGCAAGACCUUGACGAACUUGUGAACAAAUCACAUAUGGGUUAUGAGCAGGUCAGAGAGUGGUUUGCAGAAAGACAGAGGAGAUCAGAGUUAGGGAUAGAAUUAUUUGAGGAAAAUGAGGAGGAAGAUGAAGUUAUUGAUGAUCAGGAAGAGGAUGAAGAAGAGACAGAUGAUAGUGACACUUGGGAACCCCCACGACAUGUGAAACGGAAGCUUUCUAAAUCAGAUGACUGAAAUGAAAGAAUUCAAAAAUGAAAACUAAAAAGAAGGGGAAAAGUUACCGAAGGACAGACUUACCACAGGGGCGAGGAUUGCUCAGUUUUAGGAAACUAGCUGCCUAAAAUGUUGGAGGAGAAUCAAUUCUUCAACGCAAGAUGUCUGAUUUACUGUGAAUGGGCCCAAUCUUUGAUGACACUGAAAACAUUUUGGGGCAUACACAUUCUCAAAAAAUAGGAUCCAAUACCCAAAAGAAAUGGAACUUAAUGUUGUGCCAAAGUUAAACUACUGCAUUUGGCGGAAGUUCUGCAAUGUAAAUAGAACAUUAAUUAAACAACUUGUAAAAAUUUGAAUUUUAAUAUAGUACAUUUUUAUUCUGAUACGAUGGAGAUGUUCUGAUUCUUAGACUUUCUGAGGGGGUUUAAAGACCACUAGAACUUGUCCUCAUAUUUUGUCCAGCUUAAUACUGUAUGUCUAGUGAGAUGGGCCUUGUUGCCUAUAUUCUUUGAUAUGUGAUUAAGCUUAUAGCUUUGAGUGACCAAAUUUUACAGAGUAAAAAUUGUUAGAAACAGGAAAAAGAAGAACCUGAUUUAUUUCUAUGUCUUAUUUAUCAGGCCCUGCACUAAGAUUUAAAUUUGUGCAUGGGCUUGUACAAUUUCAAUGUAAGUGACAAAAAAACAGCCUAUUGACAAAUGUUGAAACAUAAAAUUUUGUGAUAACAGUGGCCCUUAAUGAUUGGAUCUUUAAUUGAACACAUUCAUGGAUACCACUAUUACUCUGUAAUACUCUGUUCAUUUUUUUCAUUAGAGGCCGAAUUUGCUUUGUAUUAAAUUAAAGAUAAUCAAUACUGAAGAAGGAAAUGAAAAUGGCAUAAGAAUUUGGAUAGGGUGAAACUCUGAAAUAAAUAUUUUACCAAAAAUGUGAAGAAGAACCAUAUAGUAAAUAUAUACUUAGUGUUUUCUUACAAUCAUAUAGAAAUCAGAAAUGUUUGUACAGUUAUCAGAUCAGAAUUUUCGAGAAUUGUCUUUCAGGGAAAUUCUACUUUAUGUAGCAAUUUCAGUGAAGAGAGGAAAAAAAUUCUGAACUGAUCAUAAUGAGUUAAAGGUUAGCUUUUGACUUAUGAAUCAUGGGAGUGUUAACUGUUAACUCUUGCCAUAUCAGGAGACUGAAAGUUCAUACUAACUUAUAAACUUUGUAAAGACCGGUGCUGUUCAUUCAUGUUGAGAAGGACCCUUUUUUUGUGACUAUAGGAUUGUUUUUCAAAAUGUGCUUUCUUCAUAGAGAAAAUGUUCGGUUUAAUUAGCUCUGGAUUUUAAAAUGUUUUUCUGAAUGACCGGAUGUAGUGGGCUUGGCCAGUUUCUUUUGUCUAAUUUAAUGAAUAAUAUUAAGCUCUUGUUUUUACCUAAAUGUUUGUCAGCUAAUGAAAUGUUAUGAAAAAGCCUUGAAUAUGCAUGCUGCUUUCAUUUUUAUAAACUUUUUAUUUUUUAACUAUAGCUUUAUUAGUAAUUCCAAAAUGCUGCAAUUUAGCUGAUUUCUUCACUCAGACAGCUGGCUUUGUGGGUGGCUUUUUCAUACUACUGUUAACUUUUAUAAGAAGAAGCAAUGUAAAGACUGUAACAAUUUAAUGCACUAAACUGUUCUUUCUUUUACACAUUUAAAAACUUCUUAAAGCACUCUGUAUUAUAAUGAUUAAAUUGCUCCCUUUUUUAAACCAUUGCUAAUGUGGUCUGAGUUUUGUUUGACAAUUUUCAUAUUUUCAAAUCUGAAAUGUCAAGUAUUGGAAAUCAGCCUUUGAAUAAUACAUUUAUAUCAUGUUUCCCUUGCAGUGUGUCAACUUUGUAUAGCCGUAAAUAACUAGUAAUAAUUUUCCCCUCUCUCUCUUUUAUAAACUUGGCACUUCAUCCUGCUCUGAUGUUUGCUAGCUUUUAAAUAUAUUUAUUUGACAGAGCAAAACUCCUCUUCUCCCAGUUGAUUAUGUCCUUGAAUACAGAAUAAAAGUUAGCAGC
Lontra canadensis (Northern American river otter) is the source of this 5292-nucleotide RNA transcript. It is a transcript of the gene named zinc fingers and homeoboxes 1, with no coding region annotated. Lineage: Eukaryota; Metazoa; Chordata; Mammalia; Carnivora; Mustelidae. The transcript is spliced from 5 exons. The record is from RefSeq and is a predicted model, not a curated record.